Molecule: ribosomal RNA, 1166 nt
Filed under: Pleurocapsales cyanobacterium ATA6-12-RM16
Lineage: Bacteria; Bacillati; Cyanobacteriota; Cyanophyceae; Pleurocapsales
Description: bacterial SSU rRNA
Rfam family: Bacterial small subunit ribosomal RNA
Source: RNAcentral
GGGGAAUUUUCCGCAAUGGGCGAAAGCCUGACGGAGCAAUACCGCGUGAGGGAGGAAGGUUUUUGGAUUGUAAACCUCUUUUUUAAAGGAAGAAGCAAGUGACGGUACUUUAAGAAUCAGCAUCGGCUAACUCCGUGCCAGCAGCCGCGGUAAUACGGAGGAUGCAAGCGUUAUCCGGAAUCAUUGGGCGUAAAGCGUCCGCAGGUGGCUGUUCAAGUCUGCUGUUAAAGACAGAAGCUCAACUUCUGAACAGCAGUGGAAACUGGACGGCUAGAGUACGGUAGGGGUUGAGGGAAUUCCCAGUGUAGCGGUGAAAUGCGUAGAUAUUGGGAAGAACACCAGUGGCGAAGGCGCUCAACUGGAUCGUAACUGACACUCAGGGACGAAAGCUAGGGUAGCGAAAGGGAUUAGAUACCCCUGUAGUCUUAGCUGUAAACGAUGAACACUAGGCGUUGCUUGUAUCGACCCGAGCAGUGCCGUAGCCAACGCGUUAAGUGUUCCGCCUGGGGAGUACGCACGCAAGUGUGAAACUCAAAGGAAUUGACGGGGGCCCGCACAAGCGGUGGAGUAUGUGGUUUAAUUCGAUGCAACGCGAAGAACCUUACCAGGACUUGACAUCUCGAGAACUGAACCUAAUAGUUCAGGUGCCUUAGGGAACUCGAAGACAGGUGGUGCAUGGCUGUCGUCAGCUCGUGUCGUGAGAUGUUGGGUUAAGUCCCGCAACGAGCGCAACCCUCGUUCUUAGUUGCCAGCAUUAAGUUGGGCACUUUAGGAAGACUGCCGGUGACAAACCGGAGGAAGGUGGGGAUGACGUCAAGUCAGCAUGCCCCUUACGUUCUGGGCUACACACGUACUACAAUGGUUGGGACAAAGGGCAGCGAGCUCGCAAGAGUCAGCGAAUCUCAUCAAACCCAGCCUCAGUUCAGAUUGCAGGCUGCAACUCGCCUGCAUGAAGGAGGAAUCGCUAGUAAUCGCAGGUCAGCAUACUGCGGUGAAUUCGUUCCCGGGCCUUGUACACACCGCCCGUCACACCAUGGAAGUUGGCCACGCCCGAAGUCGUUACCCUAACCCCGUAUAGGGAGGGGGAUGCCGAAGGCAGGGCUGGUGACUAGGGUGAAGUCGUAACAAGGUAGCCGUACCGGAAGGUGUGGCUGGAUCACCUCCUU